RNAcentral lists this small RNA (1223 nucleotides) under Arabidopsis thaliana (thale cress). RNAcentral describes it as "ATSL255990". The record is from RNAcentral. Lineage: Eukaryota; Viridiplantae; Streptophyta; Magnoliopsida; Brassicales; Brassicaceae.
AAAUAUUGGGUAGUUAUUCAUUUAUUGAUUUAAUUUUGGGAAAAAUGUCAUUUAAUCCCCCAACUUUCAAAAAAUGGUCAUUUUAUACAUCAACUUCGUAUGUGGCCGUUUAAAACAUGAACUAAACGUUGACUAAUUUUUAAAACAUGAUAUUUCGUUAACCAGGCCAAAAUAGACAUGCCGUUAUCAGUCAUUAACGGAACUUUUAACGUUCGUUUUCAUCCGUUAACUUUAUUAGUCAAGUUUCAAAUUGUGACCAUUUUAAACAUCAACUUCUUAUGUGGCCAUUUAAAACAUGAACUAAACGUUGACUACCAUUUAAGACAAGAAAAAUUCGUUGACCAGGCCAAAAUAGACAUGUCUCUAUCAGUAGAACUUAGAAACCCGUUAAUGACUGUUAAUCUGUCCAAAACAACGUCGUUUGAGAAUAAUCGAAAGAACAUAAAGAUUUUUCCCAUAUGAAAUCUCCAUAUCAAAAAGUUUUAAGCAGAACCCAAGAACAUAGUUUGAUAAAGAGAUAAUCGCAGUGCCAGUAAUUGGAAGCAAAUAAAGAUGUUUUCGUUUAUAUAUUUGUUUUAAAUUUUAAAAGGAAUCAUGGAAGCAAAUUGAAGACUCAUUAUAAGAUUGUUCGUCUUGUUUGAGCGGUUGUAGAAAUAGAUUUGGGGAACUUGGGUUUCAUUUAGAAAACAAUCCUGAUUUUCUUUUGAUUAUCCUCAAAACAAAGUCGUUUUAGGGAUACUAAUAGAGUCGUUAACAAGUGAUAAUGAAUGUUAUAAGUUCUUUUAAUGAAUGAUGACAACAUGUUUAUUUUGGCUUGGUCAACGAACUUCUCAUGUUUUAAAUGGUAGUCAACGCUUAGUUCAUGUUUAAAAUGGCCACAUAUAAAGUCGAUGUUUAAAAUAGCCACAAUUUAAAACUUGACUAAUAAAGUCGUUAACGGAUGAUAACGGACGUUAGAAGUUCCGUUAAUGAUUGAUAACGGCAUGUCUAUUUUGGCCUGGUCAACGAAUAAUCAUGUUUUAAAAGUUAGUCAACGUUUAGUUCAUGUUUUAAACGGCCGCAUACGAAGUUGAUGUAUAAAAUGGCCAUUUUUUUAAAGUUGGAGGAUUAAUUGACAUUUUGAAAGUUGGAGGAUUUGUGUGUGUGUUUUUAAUCCAAGAUCUGCUUGUUUAUCUGAAUCACUACAUUUGGUAUUUUAUUCCCAUAUUUUAUAGAAAUGUAUU